GCCAGUAGCCAUAUCACCCUACAACUCACAACUGGCAACCCACUGAAGCUCAGCAGUAUGAGCCUGGUCAGUAGCUGGAUGGGAGACCUCCUGGGAAAGCUAAGGUUGCUGCUGGAA
Molecule: ribosomal RNA, 117 nt
Filed under: Lepisosteus oculatus (spotted gar)
Lineage: Eukaryota; Metazoa; Chordata; Actinopteri; Semionotiformes; Lepisosteidae
Source: RNAcentral